AUGUUUGCUGCAACUAUUUCAGUUCUAAGAAGUGUAGCAACUGAUCGCUCCGCUACAAGGAAUUCAAGAGGAGACGCUGCAGGUGCCCUGAAGAUAUUAAACACAUUUGAUUUUGUCUUCAUUCUGCACCUAAUGGAAAGAAUUAUGAAAAUCACGGAUAUCUUGUGUGUUAAACUUCAAAAUAAAAGUUUGGAUAUUGCUAAUGCACUGGAUUGUGUUUCUAACACAAAGUCGUUGCUUGCUGAACUGAGACAAGAUGGAUGGGAAAGUCUUUUUGAAGAUGUCAAAUCAUUUUGUGUGAAACAUGAGAUUGAUAUCCCGGACAUGGAUCAAAGGUAUGUUGAUGUAACAAAAUCAAGAAAUAAGCAUGACAACACCACCGUUAUCCAUCAUUACAAAGUAGAUGUGUUUAAUGUUGCAAUAGAUCAACAAGUGAUAGAGUUGAAUGAUCGAUUCAGUUCUCAAGUUACGGAGCUUCUAGAUCUUUGUUCAUCAUUGGACCCUAGACAUGAUGCCUUCGACAAGUCAAAGAUAUGCACUCUAGUGGAAAAAUUCUAUCCUGCUGAUUUUACUAGUCAAGAAAGAGAUCGGUUGGAGUGUGAAUUACCACAUUUUCAGCUUGAUACAUUGAACCAUCCAGAGAUCAAAAAUUGCAAAUCACUUGCUGAUAUGACAAAAGGGAUAAUUAAAACUGGCAAGUCUUCUGAUUAUCCUAUGGUUGAGAGGUUGUUACGAUUAGUAAUAACUCUUCCGGUGUCAACUGCAACAGCAGAGCGAGCCUUUUCCGCAAUGAAACUUGUCAAGACACGUCUUCGAAGUAAAUUGGGAGAUGAUUUUCUUCGUCAUUGCACUAUAGUCUACAUUGAGAAGGAAAUAGUAGCCAAGUUUAGCUCCGACGAUAUUAUUGAGAUAUUUGAUACUGGUGCUCGUAAAUCCGACUUCAAAUUAAUAGAUAUGUAA
This 960-nucleotide ribosomal RNA is filed under the name Triticum aestivum (bread wheat). RNAcentral's name for it is "partial small subunit ribosomal RNA". Lineage: Eukaryota; Viridiplantae; Streptophyta; Magnoliopsida; Poales; Poaceae. The record is from RNAcentral.